UACGUAGGGGGCAAGCGUUGUCCGGAUUUAUUGGGCGUAAAGAGCGUGUAGGCGGUUUGGUAGGUCCGCUGUGAAAACUCGAGCUCAACCUCGAGACGCCGGUGGAAACCAUCAGACUAGAGUCCGGAAGAGGCGAGUGGAAUUCCUGGUGUAGCGGUGGAAUGCGCAGAUAUCAGGAGGAACACCGAUGGCGAAGGCAGAUCUCUGGGCCGUAACUGACGCUGAGGAGCGAAAGCAUGGGGGAGCGAACAGG
RNAcentral lists this ribosomal RNA (253 nucleotides) under uncultured bacterium. Its description in RNAcentral is "partial 16S ribosomal RNA". It matches the Rfam family "Bacterial small subunit ribosomal RNA", at positions 524 to 776 of the family's 1533-position model. The record is from RNAcentral.